This 571-nucleotide ribosomal RNA is filed under the name uncultured bacterium. RNAcentral's name for it is "partial 16S ribosomal RNA". It matches the Rfam family "Bacterial small subunit ribosomal RNA", at positions 355 to 919 of the family's 1533-position model. The record is from RNAcentral.
UGGGGAAUUUUGGACAAUGGGCGAAAGCUUGAUCCAGCAAUGCCGCGUGUGUGAAGAAGGCCUUCGGGUUGUAAAGCACUUUUGUCCGGAAAGAAAUCCUUGGCUCUAAUACAGUCGGGGGAUGACGGUACCGGAAGAAUAAGCACCGGCUAACUACGUGCCAGCAGCCGCGGUAAUACGUAGGGUGCAAGCGUUAAUCGGAAUUACUGGGCGUAAAGCGUGCGCAGGCGGUUUGCUAAGACCGAUGUGAAAUCCCCGGGCUCAACCUGGGAACUGCAUUGGUGACUGGCAGGCUAGAGUAUGGCAGAGGGGGGUAGAAUUCCACGUGUAGCAGUGAAAUGCGUAGAGAUGUGGAGGAAUACCGAUGGCGAAGGCAGCCCCCUGGGCCAAUACUGACGCUCAUGCACGAAAGCGUGGGGAGCAAACAGGAUUAGAUACCCUGGUAGUCCACGCCCUAAACGAUGUCAACUAGUUGUUGGGGAUUCAUUUCCUUAGUAACGUAGCUAACGCGUGAAGUUGACCGCCUGGGGAGUACGGUCGCAAGAUUAAAACUUAAAUGAAUUGACGGGGU